Molecule: long non-coding RNA, 576 nt
Organism: Cryptomeria japonica (Japanese cedar)
Lineage: Eukaryota; Viridiplantae; Streptophyta; Pinopsida; Cupressales; Cupressaceae
Exons: 2
Source: RefSeq, a predicted model, not a curated record
GUUUUGAAUUUGACCGCUAUUGAAUUCCAUUUUCAUUUUCUGAUGCUGCAUGCAAGGUUUGGACGUCGCAGCCGGAAAUUACACGCUGAAUGGUAUUUAGGAGUUGUGAUACAGAAACCCAACGGAGAGAACCUGAGGCAAGUGCAGAAGAAGUUUGACUAUGUCUCUCAUGGAUGGUACUGUGGCUGAACACCUGGCUCUCAUUGCUCGCGCCUACCAAGUUCAUUAUGUGAUCUCCAGGUGAAGGAAAUGCAGAGAAGGCGAAAGCAUUGUUUGCGUUUGGAGACUCGUAUGCUGAUACAAGGAACUGUGAUCCAAGCUACAACGCAAAAUGAUAACGAACCUUGGAGAAGACCAUAUGGAUUCAACUGGCCUGGUUAUCCUGCAGAGAGAUACUCCUCUGGGAAAGUGCAAAUAGAUAGUUGGGGUAAACACAAAUUAUUAUGCUUUUCUUGUGCAAAGUUUAAACAGUAUAAUUUAUUAAGUUUUCGAUUUGUUUAGAUGGUCCAUUUUGAAAAGAAACGUGGUACAGAGGAGAAACCCAUAAAAGAGCUCUUAACAGAGUUUUUUAUUCUA